GAUGAAGAACGCAGCGAAAUGCGAUAAGUAAUGCGAAUUUCAGAAUUCAGUGAGUCAUCGAAUCUUUGAACGCACAUUGCGCCCUGUGGUAUUCCGCAGGGCAUGCCUGUUCGAGCGUCAUUUCAACCCUCAAGCUCUGCUUGGUGUUGGGCCACGCCCUCGCGGCCGGCCCCAAAGCCAGUGGCGGCGCCGUCCGGCUCUAAGCGUAGUACAUCUCUCGCUCUAGGGCCCGGCGGCUGCCUGCCAGAACCCCAAACUCUUAUGGUUGACCUCGGAUCAGGUAGGGAUACCCGCUGAACUUAAGCAUAUCAAUAAGCGGAGGA
This 323-nucleotide unclassified non-coding RNA is filed under the name soil metagenome. Its description in RNAcentral is "partial contains 5.8S ribosomal RNA, internal transcribed spacer 2, and large subunit ribosomal RNA". The stretch from base 1 to 120 matches the Rfam family "5.8S ribosomal RNA", at positions 35 to 154 of the family's 154-position model. The record is from RNAcentral.